This 475-nucleotide unclassified non-coding RNA is filed under the name Schizosaccharomyces pombe (fission yeast). RNAcentral describes it as "non-coding RNA (predicted)". Lineage: Eukaryota; Fungi; Ascomycota; Schizosaccharomycetes; Schizosaccharomycetales; Schizosaccharomycetaceae. The record is from RNAcentral.
AUAUCCCAUAUUAGCCGGUUUCUCAUGUUUAUCUUGCAUGUCUCUUAGAUAAUUCCUGAUGUUAUUCAGCAUCUAAUACACUUCCCUAUCUAUAAUGUAAGAGAAAAUACUCGAUACCAGCUUGCGCCGUUCACAAAUCGGUUUCCAGCCUCAUUGGGCAUAAUGCUUUUUAAUCACCGAUAUACACUUUAUCUGUCGGGUUCGAUAAUCCUACUUAACAGGAUUGUUCACUAUAGUGCACGCCCCUUACAGAAGGGAUGAGACCUAUCGAUAUUGAAAACGGAGGCAAACGUAUUCAUUCAAGUCAUUUGUUGGUUGAUGAAUUAAAUAAGAAAAUAUCAGUCAGUAUAAGGCUCCUAGUAACUUAGAUAAAAAAAAAUGUCAAAUUAGUAUAUUAAACCAUUCUAAGAUACUAAAAUACGAGGUACACGCAUUAGAAAUUAAUACCAGGACUUGCAGAAGAGUCUUCUAAAGC